CCUACGGGUGGCAGCAGUGAGGAAUAUUGGUCAAUGGACGAGAGUCUGAACCAGCCAAGUCGCGUGAAGGAUGAAUGCCCUAUGGUUUGUAAACUUCUUUUAUAUGGGAGUAAAAUGUUCCGCGUGUGGGAUUUUGUAUGUACCAUAUGAAUAAGGAUCGGCUAACUCCGUGCCAGCAGCCGCGGUAAUACGGAGGAUCCGAGCGUUAUCCGGGUUGAGUGGGUUUAAAGGGAGCGUAGGUGGAUUGUUAAGUCAGUUGUGAAAGUUGCCGGCUCAACCGUAGAAUUGCAGUUGAAACUGGUAGUCUUGAGUACAGGAGAGGUGGGCGGAAUUCGUGGUGUAGCGGUGAAAUGCUUAGAUAUCACGAAGAACUCCGAUUGCGAAGGCAGUUCACUGGACUGCAACUGACACUGAGGCUCGAAAGUGUGGGUAUCAAACAGGAUUAGAUACCCCGGUAGUC
This 460-nucleotide ribosomal RNA is filed under the name uncultured bacterium. Its description in RNAcentral is "partial 16S ribosomal RNA". It matches the Rfam family "Bacterial small subunit ribosomal RNA", at positions 338 to 795 of the family's 1533-position model. The record is from RNAcentral.